UGUAGGGACAUUUAGAGAAUAAAGUUUAUUAAGCAAUAUCGGGAUUAGGACGUUAUCAUAUGCUGUGUUUACAUCUAGAAAAGCUGCUACAACCGAUUGAUUAUCAGAAAAAGCAAGCCGGAUAUCUGUAAUGAGUAUACUGAUACUAUCCAUGGUACUUUUUCCCUUUCUAAAACCAAAUUGACUAUCGGCAAGCAAAUCAUUACAUUCAAGAAACCAUUCGAGUCGAUUUUUAAUUAAGUGUUCAGCUAGUUUUAUUAAUACUGAGGAAAGAACUAUUGGGCGAUACGAAGAUGGGUCUGACGGGGACUUAUUUGGUUUAGGGAUUGGCAACACUUUUUGAAACUUCCAUGACAGAGGGACGUCACUACCUGUCAUCGCAAUUGAAUUGAUGAUUUCCAAAUAAUAUGAGAGUACUUGAUCAUCUAAGUUAUGAAAGAAGGAAUACGGGAUACCAUCUGCACCUGGAGACGAAUCAGAAACGUUUUGUAUGAUUCCCUUAAGUUCAAACAGUGAAAAUGGCCGGUCAAUGGCAGACACAGGGUCUGGGACUGGCGAAGUUAGGUACAGUUUUUGAGGGACCCAUGGUGGAGCUAGUUUGUCAACGAAAGCACCAGCGAUUUCUAGUGGGAUAGAAGGGCGAGAAGACUCUGUCAUGCCAGAUUUAAAUCGGCGAAUGUUUUGCCAUACUAUUGAAGAUGGGGUUUCAGGGGAAAUUGAUAAGCAGAACUUUCUCCAACUCUCGAAUUUUUUCUUUUUAAAAAGUUCACGAGAUUCUUCUGUUACCUUACUUAAUUCUGAAAAAUUUUCAUUGGUCAUAUUAGCUUUAUAUUUACGCUCGGCAGACUUUCUUUUUUUUAUGGCCUCUGUACAAUCACUGUCCCACCAUGGUUGCGGGGGCAGCUUAUGAUUAAGUUUUUUUAAAGGAAAAGCUUUAUUUGCGGAAUCUACUAAUAGAUUGGUAAAGGAUGUAGCGCAAGUGGAUUCAUUACCAGAUGAAACAAUUGGAAGAGAGGGGAGAUUGUUCUCAACACCUUCUUUAAAUGUAUUCCACGCAUUGCUGGUCCUAUCUGGAAGUCUAUGUUUCAGUUGUGGAACAUAUUUAGAAGUUAAAGGACUAUUAAAUGGAAAGGGUUAGAGGACAAUACGUCUGCAUAGGACUUUGAGGCUGGAGGGUGAAUCUUGGAAGCCUCUGCAUAUGAGAUGGAAUUUUCAGCCAUAUAAGACUUAAUUUUUUUCUGACGGAUGAAUUCUGGGCAUGACUUGCUAGUUGCAAAGUGGAAACCGGAGCAAAGACAACAGGAAGCUUGGUCUUCAUAAACAGAGCACGAAUCUCCCAUGUGGGCCUGCCCACACUUAAAACAGCGAGGCUGGGACCUACAUUGGGCCUUUGUAUGACCAAAUCGGCAACAAUUAAAACAUUGUACUGUAGGAAAGAUAUACAAUUCAACUGGUAAAGCAUUGUAGCAAAUAAAUACUCUUUUUGGUAAGGUUUGUCCGUCAAAUGUUACAACAACUGAUUGAGAGGGUUUCCAAGAAACUGAACCAUUAUUAAAAGAUUUAAAAUUCA
Molecule: long non-coding RNA, 1570 nt
Organism: Ostrinia nubilalis (European corn borer)
Lineage: Eukaryota; Metazoa; Arthropoda; Insecta; Lepidoptera; Crambidae
Exons: 2
Source: RefSeq, a predicted model, not a curated record